Molecule: ribosomal RNA, 264 nt
Filed under: uncultured bacterium
Lineage: Bacteria
Description: partial 16S ribosomal RNA
Rfam family: Bacterial small subunit ribosomal RNA
Source: RNAcentral
GAUGAACGUUGGCGGCGUGCCUAACACAUGCAAGUCGAACGGUGGUAGCAAUACUACAGUGGCGCACGGGUGAGUAACACGUAGCUUACCUCCCUCUCAGCGCGGGAUAACGACUCGAAAGAGUUGCUAAUACCGCAUAAGCUCACGGCUUCCAGAGAGUUGUGAGAAAAGGUGCAAAUCACUGAGAGACGGGGCUGCGGCCCAUCAGCUAGUUGGCGCGGUAACGGCGCACCAAGGCGACGACGGUAGGGGACCUGAGAGGGU